Molecule: ribosomal RNA, 432 nt
Filed under: uncultured bacterium
Lineage: Bacteria
Description: partial 16S ribosomal RNA
Rfam family: Bacterial small subunit ribosomal RNA
Source: RNAcentral
AACGAACGCUGGCGGCAUGCCUAACACAUGCAAGUCGAACGAGACCUUCGGGUCUAGCCGCGCACGGGUGCGUAACGCGUGGGAACCUUCCCUUAGGGUCGGAAUAACUCCCCGAAAGGGGUGCUAAUACCGGAUAAUGUCUACGAACCAAAGAUUUAUCGCCUUUGGGUGGGCCCGCGUUGGAUUAGCUAUUUGGUAGGGUAAAAGCCUACAAAGGCGACGAUCCAUAGCUGGUAUGAGAGGAUGAUCAGCCACACUGGGACUGGUACACGGCCCAGACUCCUACGGAAGGCAGCAGUGGGGAAUAUUGGACGAUGGGCGAAAGCCUGAUCCAGCAAUGCCGCGUGAGUGAUGAAGGCCUGAGGGUUGUAAAGGUCUUUUACCCGGGAUGAUAAUGACAGUACCGGGAGAAUAAGCUCCGGCUAACUCCGU